CUCCUACUUGCAAAGAUGCCUCUGGGAAUUUAUAAUGAGUCGGCAAUUGCAAUAUAUUCAAACGCGGCAGUACUCUCUGUGGAACUCCAUCCAUAUAGACCAUGGAUCCUGGGAGGUUUGGCAGAUGGAACUAUUAAAAUCUGGGAUUCUGAGAAAUUUGCAUUAAU
Molecule: non-coding RNA, 167 nt
Organism: Camelina sativa (false flax)
Lineage: Eukaryota; Viridiplantae; Streptophyta; Magnoliopsida; Brassicales; Brassicaceae
Source: RefSeq, a predicted model, not a curated record